CGGGGGGAGCAAGCGUUGUUCGGAUUUACUGGGCGUAAAGGGCGCGUAGGCGGCCACCGCAAGUCAAUUGUGAAAUCUCCGGGCUUAACUCGGAAAGGUCAACUGAUACUGCGGGGCUAGAGUGCAGAAGGGGCAACUGGAAUCUCGGUGUAGCGGUGAAAUGCGUAGAUAUCGAGAGGAACACCUGCGGCGAAGGCGGGUUGCUGGGCUGACACUGACGCUGAGGCGCGAAAGCUAGGGGAGCGAACGGGAUUAGAUACCCCGGUAGUCCUAGCCUUAAACGAUGAAUGCUUGGUGUCUGGGGUUAUAAAGUCCCCGGGUGCCGUCGCUAACGCUUUAAGCAUUCCGCCUGGGGAGUACGGUCGCAAGACUG
Molecule: ribosomal RNA, 373 nt
Filed under: uncultured organism
Description: bacterial SSU rRNA
Rfam family: Bacterial small subunit ribosomal RNA
Source: RNAcentral